Molecule: ribosomal RNA, 259 nt
Filed under: uncultured bacterium
Lineage: Bacteria
Description: partial 16S ribosomal RNA
Rfam family: Bacterial small subunit ribosomal RNA
Source: RNAcentral
ACACCUACGGGGGGCAGCAGUGAGGAAUAUUGGUCAAUGGCCGUAAGGCUGAACCAGCCAAGUAGCGUGAGGGAAGACGGCCCUAUGGGUUGUAAACCUCUUUUGUCGGAGAACAAAACCCGGGACGUGUCCCGGACUGCGUGUAUCCGAAGAAAAAGCAUCGGCUAACUCCGUGCCAGCAGCCGCGGUAAUACGGAGGAUGCGAGCGUUAUCCGGAUUUAUUGGGUUUAAAGGGUGCGCAGGCGGAAGAUCAAGUCAG